RNAcentral lists this ribosomal RNA (361 nucleotides) under uncultured Acholeplasma sp. RNAcentral describes it as "bacterial SSU rRNA". It matches the Rfam family "Bacterial small subunit ribosomal RNA", at positions 1022 to 1382 of the family's 1533-position model. The record is from RNAcentral. Lineage: Bacteria; Bacillati; Mycoplasmatota; Mollicutes; Acholeplasmatales; Acholeplasmataceae.
UAUUCGGGGAGGACAGGUGGUGCAUGGUUGUCGUCAGCUCGUGUCGUGAGAUGUUGGGUUAAGUCCCGCAACGAGCGCAACCCCUAUUGCUAGUUACCAUCAUUAAGUUGGGGACUCUAGCGAGACUGCCAGUGAUAAACUGGAGGAAGGUGGGGAGUGACGUCAAAUCAUCAUGCCCCUUAUGACCUGGGCUACAAACGUGAUACAAUGGCUGGAACAAAGGGAUGCGAAGCAGGUGAUGUGGAGCGAAACCCAUAAAAACAGUCUCAGUUCGGAUUGAAGUCUGCAACUCGACUUCAUGAAGUCGGAAUCGCUAGUAAUCGCGGAUCAGAACGCCGCGGUGAAUACGUUCUCGGGGUUU